GAUCAUGGCUCAGGAUGAACGCUAGCUACAGGCUUAACACAUGCAAGUCGAGGGGCAGCAUGGUCUUAGCUUGCUAAGGCCGAUGGCGACCGGCGCACGGGUGAGUAACACGUAUCCAACCUGCCGUCUACUCUUGGACAGCCUUCUGAAAGAAAGAUUAAUACCGGAUAGUAUCGAGAGAUUGCAUGAUUACCCGAUUAAAGAUUUA
This 208-nucleotide ribosomal RNA is filed under the name uncultured bacterium. RNAcentral's name for it is "partial 16S ribosomal RNA". It matches the Rfam family "Bacterial small subunit ribosomal RNA", at positions 15 to 211 of the family's 1533-position model. The record is from RNAcentral.